Molecule: ribosomal RNA, 767 nt
Filed under: Dipsastraea pallida
Lineage: Eukaryota; Metazoa; Cnidaria; Anthozoa; Scleractinia; Merulinidae
Description: partial 28S ribosomal RNA
Rfam family: Eukaryotic large subunit ribosomal RNA
Source: RNAcentral
AUUAAUAAGCGGAGGAAAAGAAACUAACAAGGAUUCCCUCAGUAACGGCGAGUGAAGCGGGAAGAGCUCAAAUUUGAAAUCUCCGGUGCUUGCAUCGGCGAGUUGUAGUUGCGAGAAGCACUUUCUAGGUGGAUCGGCGGUGCCUAAGUUGCUUGGAACAGCACGUCGCAGAGGGUGACAACCCCGUCUGUGGCGCCGCCGGCCGCUGACGAUGUGCUUUCGAAGAGUCGGGUUGUUUGGGAAUGCAGCCCAAAAUGGGUGGUAAACUCCAUCUAAAGCUAAAUACUGGCGUGAGACCGAUAGCGAACAAGUACCGUGAGGGAAAGAUGAAAAGAACUUUGAAAAGAGAGUUAAAAAGUACGUGAAACCGUCGGAAGGGAAACGAAUGGACUCAGCAAUGCGCCCUCUGAGAUUCAGCCGCGUGGGUGGCGUCGGCGCGGGGUUUGCGGAUCUGAAUGGACCGCGGCCCGGCGCUCGCUUCUCCCCGCCGUCGCACUUCUCUGGGGCGCGCGUCAACGUGGGUUGGGACUGGGUCUGAAAGGUGCCGGGAAGGUAGGUGUGGGCCUUCGGGUCCGUUCUGUUACAGCCCGGUUCUCUCAUGGCUCGGGCCCGACCGAGGAGCAGACAGGGCAUGCCUCCUGUGGCUAGGGUCCCGUCCUUCCGGCCGGCUGUCCAGUGUGGUGGACUGCUUGCAGUGCUCUGCGACGGCUGCCGGUCGUUGGGGUGGUGAUCUCGUACCAUGCCCUUGGGAUGUUGGCGGUCAUAUG